CACGGAGUUAGCCGAUCCUUAUUCUUACGAUACCGUCAAGCUCCUAUACAUAGGGGUGUUUCUUCUCGUACAAAAGCAGUUUACAAUCCAUAGGACCGUCAUCCUGCACGCGGCAUGGCUGGAUCAGGCUUGCGCCCAUUGUCCAAUAUUCCUCACUGCUGCCUCCCGUAGGAGUCUGGUCCGUGUCUCAGUACCAGUGUGGGGGAUCUCCCUCUCAGGACCCCUACCCAUCGUCGCCUUGGUAAGCCGUUACCUUACCAACUAGCUAAUGGGACGCAUGCUCAUCUUUCACCGUUGUGACUUUAAUUAUAACUCGAUGCCGAGUCAUAAUACUAUGAGGUAUUAAUCCAAAUUUCUCUGGGCUAUCCCUCUGUGAAAGGCAGAUUGCAUACGCGUUACGCACCCGUGCGCCGGUCUCUAUCUCCGAAGAAAUAUACCCCUCGACUUGCAUGUGUUAAGCCUGCCGCCAGCGUUCAUCCUGAGCCAGGA
This 489-nucleotide ribosomal RNA is filed under the name uncultured Flavobacterium sp. Its description in RNAcentral is "partial 16S ribosomal RNA". The record is from RNAcentral. Lineage: Bacteria; Pseudomonadati; Bacteroidota; Flavobacteriia; Flavobacteriales; Flavobacteriaceae.